CUAGGAUGAACGCUAGCGACAGGCCUAACACAUGCAAGUCGAGGGCAGCACAAGGAGCAAUCUGAGGUGGCGACCGGCGCACGGUGAGUAACACGUAUGCAACCUGCCUGUAAGCGGGGAAUAACCCGUUGAAAGACGGACUAAUACCGCAUAAUACUAAAUUACUGCAUGGUAAUUUAUUUAAACAUUUAUGGCUUACAGAUGGGCAUGCGCAUGAUUAGCUAGUUGGAGAGGUAACGGCUCCCCAAGGCAACGAUCAUUAGGGGUCUGAGAGGAAGGUCCCCCACACUGGUACUGAGACACGGACCAGACUCCUACGGGAGGCAGCAGUGAGGAAUAUUGGUCAAUGGACGAGAGUCUGAACCAGCCAAGUCGCGUGCAGGAAGAAUGUUCCCUAUGGAUUGUAAACUGCUUUUGCAGGGGAAUAAAGUGCAUCACGUGUGAUGUUUUGUAUGUACUCUGCGAAUAAGGAUCGGCUAACUCCGUGCCAGCCGCCGC
This 498-nucleotide ribosomal RNA is filed under the name uncultured bacterium. RNAcentral's name for it is "bacterial SSU rRNA". It matches the Rfam family "Bacterial small subunit ribosomal RNA", at positions 26 to 518 of the family's 1533-position model. The record is from RNAcentral.